Long non-coding RNA from Callithrix jacchus (white-tufted-ear marmoset), 7116 nucleotides. RefSeq lists it as uncharacterized. The record is from RefSeq and is a predicted model, not a curated record. Lineage: Eukaryota; Metazoa; Chordata; Mammalia; Primates; Cebidae.
CUGGUCCUGUUCACCUGGAUCGGGGCCCACUUCCCCCAGGGCGCCCCGCAGCCUGACACAGAGGCUUUCCGGGAUGGAAAGGUGUUUCUUCCCUUUCUAGAUCAUGUCAGGCUCACCUCGACCCCAGCCAACAUGCCACCAGGCCUGCCCCACAGAAGUGGGCUGUGGGAGUGUUCCCAAGCCCUGGGGAGGGGGCCUCCACCGAGAUCGUGUCCCCGACCCCUCCUUCCGGCCCCCACAUCUACCCCCAGACCCAACCCCCCAGCGUAACUCGCACCCUCAUCCCCUUUCCCGAGGAAUCCAAACCCCGGUUUAAUGAGUCGUGAAGUGUGAGAACUUCCGGAGCCUGCAGCGCCCCUGAUGCCAAUUCCAGAUGUGCGAGUUGGGAGGGGUGGGCCUCCCGGCCGGUGAGGACCCAGCUGCUUUGGUCAGAGCGAAGCGUCCAGGACCCAGGUUCCAGCGAUCUGGGCCCUGAAUUGGAAACAGGCAACUUCUCCACUGAGAAAUUACUCUUUUUAUUUCUUGUAGUGUUCCUGGUGCCCUAUUUCACGGCACCAACAAACGGGAUAUUACUUUUAAAACACUAUGAAAUACCAGGUCCUGUCCUCGGAGCUAUUUCGGAGGAAUUCAAUUUUCGCUGAAUGGUGAGAAGCUCCAGCAUUUCUUUUGGGGGCAGAUGGGUGGCUCAAUGGGAGAAAGAGGAAAAUUUUCAGGACUGUCUUGGCAUUCCAGAGAGACUUGUGGGUGUCAGGACCACACAGUGGCACUCCUGCCCCCACCCAGACUCACACAGGCACCUGCACACCUUGUAAACGUGUCUUAGAUGGAACCACACACCAGGCACCCUGUAACAGCCAGCCCUUGUGCCAGUAACACUCUUUAUUACCCGGGACUCAAAGUCUGGCCUUGUCUCCUAGGGACUGUCUACAAGGUUAUCUGUUAUCUAUCAUCCGUCUACCAGCAGGACCUGCCCAUCCCCCACGGCUCCCCUUGGUGUUUCUUAAUGUCUUGGAGAACAGUUACUCUGAGCCGCUAGGGAAAAAAAAAAAAGUUUGCCUUACCAUUCUUCCCUCCCUCCCAUCUUUUUCCUCUUAGCAAAUGUUCCAUCCUCUUGACCUCAUGGGGCAUAACUUUCCAGUGCUGCCUUCAGGACUGGGGAAUGCAACGGGGAAAAAUAGGAGACUUUUUUCGUUGUUUUUGCUGAAAAUCUGAAGCCCUUAGUCGGAGCUGAGAUCACCGACCCCUCUUGCUUCUAACCAGUGCAGUAGAUGACUACGAACAGGCAGCUGGGACCAAGGAUAGCAGCUUCCAGCAGCUUUCCAAAAUGCCAGGGUCCCCAGUCCCCAAGUCCUGGAGAGAUCAUUCAGCCUUCUUGGAAAUUUAGCUGGUGGCUCCACCCUGGUCCCACAGCCUGGGCUCCCCUCGCCAGGUGCUGGGAGGCCUGUGAGAUCCACCUGAGUAUGUAAGGGAGAGAUGAGACCUCCUCUUGUCCCCACAAACAAGAAAGAAGCUAGCAAGAGUCACUUGGAAAUAAUAUCAGAUUCCCCACUGCCCCUUCCACCACACUCUUCCUCCUUCCAAGUCCUUUCCCUGCGUCGAAGGUGGAGAAGCCGGGUGGAGCCAGGAAGGGCUGAUGAGCAGUUUGGAGGGCCACACCCAGGAGCAAGCCUCUGUCUCACCCGGGCAUGGCCAGGGAAGAGCCCCACAGAGAUCAGAAAAGAAACAGCUGCAGGCGUGAUCUGUGAGUUUCAUUUUUCCACUUAAAGACAAAACAGGCCCAGAUUGUCACUGGAGGUGCCUCGGCGGCACCGUUUCCAGCUGCCUUCGGCACCUUCUGAGCCUUUUGGCUGCAGCUGGCUAAACCCACGGUGGAGUGUCCACAGCUCAUGCCUGCUCCGAUCAGGAGAUCUAAACCAGGACAGGGAAUCCCCUCAGCACUGACCCUACCUGGGUUCCCUGGGCGGCAGCCCCGCAAAUACCCACUCUCUCCAGUUUCCCAUCAACUAUUACUUACGAGAGUGUAGAGUUAGGACUCUCUGUCUCUCAAAAAAGGAAAGAUAACAAAGCGAUUUAAAGAUAAUUAAUUGCAUUAAACUAUUGACUAACUACUUCGCUCAAUAGUAAUUCAUUUAGAGAAUAUUAAAAUCUGAGGAACAAUAAUAAAAUUGAUGCCAAUUCCCACGGGGAGGGAGAUGGCCAGCAAAUUGGAUACUUUUCUUAAUCUGGCGUAAAUAAUAACACGCCUGCUUCCUUCUCUCUCAGGCCAAUUCCCCUAUCAUUUAUUCCAGACUCUAAAGCUGGGCUUCAUAAUUGAUAUCAGUUACUCAAUGAGUGCUUUUUCAUUUGUUCUUGUUAUCCGUGAUAAUUGCGAAGUUCAGCCUCUCCGAGUUGGGCCGGGCAGGGAGGGCAGAGGCCAGGCUGGGAGGGGGAGGCUCCGCUGCUCCGCGUUUUUCCGGUUUGAGGACACGGAGAGGCCCACAGUCCUGACCUGGGCGGUGCUGGCGGACAGGGCCAGGUCUUCUCCACGCAGAUGCCUCUGGAGCGCGAUAUCGGGAAGAAACACUUCGUGGCAUGCCCAGGGUUAAGAGCUGAGGCGACAACCCGUUUUUGUUUGAGAAGCGGUGGGUAGAAGCCAUGAAUCCCACACGACAUCUGGGGACCAAACGCCCUGGGCCAGGAGGAUGAUGUGGGAGAGGAAGGAAGAGGGGGUCAGGGGAGGGACAUGGCUGGAAACGUCCUUCCCGGCGCCUCCCCCCGACCCCGGGGCCUGAGCGCCGGACCACACAGGCCCCCGCAGGCCCAGAUACUCCGAGAUGACGAUUUCGUUAUUUAUUCACUUAUUUAUUCAUUUAUAAAGUGUUUACUUAGCUCGGUGCAGAUGUAACAUCUCAUUUACAGCGUGGCCUCCGGGCAUAGAAACAAUUGGCAACAAAAGAGUAACUCCGGAGAAUUAAAGAAAAAAAAAACAAAACAAAACAACACACAACAACAGGCGCUGAGGGUGGGGGGAGCGCUCUGAAGAGGCGCUUGGGGCUCCGAGCGGAGGAGCCUGAGGACGCGCCUGGCCAAGGCUGCGGAGACCCCCCCAGGCCCCUCGAAGGAGCCGCGGGCAGCCCCUCCCGAGGAGGUAGUGGAGGCCGAGGGAAGUCGUUGGGUGCCGGGCCCAGGCUGUGCCGGCCAAGGCUGCGGAGACCCCCCCAGGCCCCUCGAAGGAGCCGCGGGCAGCCCCUCCCGAGGAGGUAGUGGAGGCCGAGGGAAGUCGUUGGGUGCCGGGCCCAGGCUGUGCCUGAGGGCCAGGGAUGCGCAAAAACUAGGGGCUGGCGGCGCUUCUGCAGCGGCCUUCACCGAACCUCUGGAACGGGUUCAGGCCGCGGGCGCGUGGGUGGGACCUGCGGGAGACUCGCAGGCGGUGGUGGCCAAGGGGGGUCAAUGAGCUGGCACCACGGGUGGUCCUCUCUGCUGCAGUCGGGGCAGCCCCACGGGGUCGCGCACUCCCGCUUCACUGCUACCCGUGGGGGCGGCUUCAUCCUGGCCUCACCAGCCUCCCGGGAGUCCCUCCCUGAUUCCAGCCUGGGGGCUCAGAGGUCCUGUUGGUAGAGACAGCGUUUCGCCAUGUUGAGCAGGCUGGUCUCGAACUCCUGACCUCAGGUGAUCCACCCACCUCGGCCUUCCAAAGUGCUGGGAUUACAGGGCUGGGCUUCUUAUAAAGAAAGGAGACUGGGACGCAGACUGGUAGAGCGAAGACCCUGUGAGGACACAGAGAAGCUGCCGCCUGACACAGAGAGGCAGGCCCUGCCCACACCUGGACCUUGGCCUUCUGGCCCCCAGGACCCUACAAAGUCAGUCUCAGCUGUGUAAGCCGCUCCGUCUGUGUGUUUGUUACAGCAGCCCCAGAAAGAUAUGAAACCGCUACUCCCGCGAUUAAAUGUCUCUCAGCCUAACACCUAUGGGACCUGGGGAGAGGGAAGAGAAAGGCUCCAACCUUGACCCUGUCAAAUAAAUAUCUCUAACUUUUUCUGUCCUCGGGCUUCCCAGCCAAACCUGUCUGUGGGUUUUUUUUCUUCCCUUAACCUGACUUUAAAUAACAAAGCUAUGGGGACGGGGAGAUGAAGAGAGGAAAGCCUGUCUGUUCUAUUAGAGGGUGCUCAGCGAGUGCACGCCCCGACGUCUAGCCCAAACCCUGAGUGGUAGUGAAGCUUCACUGCGCUAAUAGCCUUCCCAGCGACGGCCACCCUGGAGCCCAUCCCCUCCGGCUGCAAGUUCAGCUCAGACUGGCUGCUUCGAGGGUCCUGUCCGACCGAGGGAGGGCUGCCUGGAACCCGGCUCCCAGUGACGCGUGCCACUCCUGACCUCCUGCUCUCUUGCCCAGUUCUCUCCAGACCACGGUUUUGGCCCAGCUUGGGGAGCAGUUGAGCAUCCUGGGGUCACCUCAUCCCAGGAUGGUGGGACCAGAAGGGACGGUUCACACUGUCCAGGGACAGCAGGGCAGAGCCCCAGAGAGGGUCAGGCCUGCCCCAGCCCCAGCCCCUGGACCAGCUCACAGCCCUUUCUGCUGAGGGCAGGGGUCUGCGUGGCAUACGCUGGAGGUGUCCUCACGACCCCAGUCUCCAGCUCUCUCAGGCAGAGUCCACCCUGAACACCCCUCAUGUGGCCAGGAACCCCCUUCCCCAGCUCCCACAGCCCCCAAGCUCCCUAGGCCAGCCCCCUUGGAAGGUCGUGGUUGUCCCUGGCUGGCCAUGGCUGCGCCUGCUGAGCUGUGAGCACCGCGGUGCCGAGCUGGCUGUUUGCGGCAGGUGGGAGGGUGAGGCUGCCCUGCUGGGACCUAGCCAGCUGUUCUCAUGAAUGAGUCUGAGUAAAUUAACAAACAGCACACAAACCUGCCACCUGAAUCAUUCCUGAUGGCUCUAAGUGCAGGACAGGCUGGGCAUGGUCCUAGGGACUGCACCUGUUGGCCCCUUCCUCAGAGCUCCCCUGGCCCUGCCGAGCAGCCCCUCAUCCUUCGACCUGUCCUUGGGGGGCCAGAGUUGACCUCCUUUGCACUGGGCCGUGUCCCUGGGUUAAGGUCUUCCUCACCCACCCCCAAUCUGCCAGGUCAGUGCCAAACCACCAACCACUGCCUCCGUGGUGUCCCCAACCCAGGCCACCUGGUGCCUUGCCUCACUGCCCCCUGAACAACCCUGUCCUGCGGGGUUUGUCUUGGACACUUUUUUUUUUUUUUGAGGCAGAGUUUUGCUCUUGUUGCCCAGGCUGGAGUGCAAUGGCAUGAUCUUGGCUCAUCGCAACCUCCACCUCCGGAGUUCAAGCGAUUUUCCUGCCCUAGCCUCCUGAGUAGCUGGAAUUAAAGGUACCAGGCAUCUGCUACCAUGCCUGGCUAAUUUUGUAUUUUUAGUAGAGAUGGGGGGUUUCACCAUGUUGACCAGGCUGGUCUUGAAUUCCUGACCUCAGGUGAUCUGCCUACCUCGGCCUCCCAAAGUGCUGGGAUUAUAGGCGUGAGCCACCGUGCCAGGCCAGUCCUGGUCACUUCUUUUGCUGGAAGUCCUCGUUUCCCACUCCAGUGGCAUCGGGCUGCUCGCCCUUCUUUGACGGGUACUGCCUGGGUCACAGUGCCUGCUCAGGUGUUCAGCAUGCUACGGUUUGCAACACUUCUGGGGAGGCCGUGAGUGCAGGCACUGUCACCUUUUUCCAGGUGAGGUGAAGAGGCUGGAUGAACGGUGACCACCCCAGUCCAGAGCUUGAGACCAGAGAGGAGCCUCUCCCCUCCUUGCUGGGGUGCCCAGGGCCACAGCAGAAAGCCUCAGGCCACAGUGUGCUGGAUCCUGGCUUCUAGGUUCACCUGGUGGCCAGGCACUUCUUUCCCAGGUGCUGCCAGCCAUGGCCCCAGAGCCGGGCCCGACCUUCCCAUGGUGUCCUGCAGCCCAGGUCCUGCCAGUGUACCCCGAGGGACACAUCCUUACAGCCACCCUGUCCUUUUCCACAGCCAGCAUGGGCGUAGUGGGAGCUGGUGGGGCGUGUGCUCCAAGCAAGGGCUGGGCACAGAGGCCCCAGGAAGCAGGUGGAUCUCCUUUCUGAGAACCCUCUUGGGGCCCACAUUCAUCUCAGGGGUCCUUAGAGAACCAAGCACUUGAGCUGCCCCCAGUUCACAGAGGAGGAAACAGGCUCAGAGAUGUCAGCCACUUGCCCAAGGCUGAGGGCAGGGCUGUGGGCCCAGGAAGGGCCACGCUGAGGGCAGACUGCCAUGCUGGGGUUGCCCCCAGAUAUGCCCCAGAGUUGCACAGCUUCGUCAGAGCACCAGCAAAACCCAAGCUCGAGGAGUGGUAAACAAACAUCGGCCAGGCGCAGUGCUCGCACCUGGAACCCCAGCACCUGGGGAGGCCAGGGUGGGAGGACUGCUUGAGCUGAAGAGUUCAAGACCAGCCUGGGCAACAUAGCGAGACUCCAUUUCUUUAAAAAAUAAAGAAAUCAGCCGGGUGCGGUGGCAUAUGCCUGUGGCCCCAGCUACUUGGGAAGUUGAGGUGGAAGGAUCCCUUGAGCCCAGGAGGUCAAGGCUGCAGUGAGCAGAGAUGCACCACUGCACUCCAGCCUGUGUGACAGAGCAAGACUCUCUCAAAACAAACAAACAAACAAAAAAAAAAACCCAAGGAGAAGGAUCUGGAAAACACAGAAAAGGAUAAAGAAGCAAACCUCAAUUACACUCAGGGAACCACCUGGAGUUAGGAGCCAGCCUAGGAUGUUCUAGAAGGAUUGAAGCUAGCCUUGUCUGAGGCCCUGGGAAAGUGGACUGGACAUGGAGAUGCAGCUGAGGGACCCCAGGAAGAUGCUGCAGUCCUGUGUGAGGCCCAGUCUGGGAGCCACAGCCUUUUCCUCCCCCAGCAUCCACCCACUCGGGCUUCCUGCCACGGCCUCCCUCAGAGUCCAUGGCUCCCCAGGUGGUUCUGAUCCCGGGUCACAGGCACAACCUAGGUCAGGGAAGCCACAUGCCCAGUGUGGGCUCUUCCCUCUUUAUGCUGGACAGCAGGGUUUGCCUUGCACCUUGGGCUCAGGAGUGGGUGGGGGAUCAGGAAUGGCCACGCAGGGGACCUGGCCUAGGCUGUCUACCUCCCACAGACACUGUUUGCC